This is a long non-coding RNA of Triticum aestivum (bread wheat), 824 nucleotides long. RefSeq lists it as uncharacterized. The record is from RefSeq and is a predicted model, not a curated record. The transcript has 3 exons. Lineage: Eukaryota; Viridiplantae; Streptophyta; Magnoliopsida; Poales; Poaceae.
GGGCGACAGCACGCGACGGUGGUUUUGUCGCUUCCUCUUCGAAAUUUGGGGAGACGCGUUUUCCUCCAUCCUCCCGUUCCCAUCCCCCACUCCACUCCCCACUGCACCGGCGACGAACGAAACCCCAAAUCCCCCACGAAAUCCCUAGGGCUUCGCGGCGAGCUAGCCGGCGAAGAGUCAAUUGACGGAGAAAGGAGACGCCCAGCGAAGGAUUCCGCCCAGCAUCCGACGGGAGAGCAGCGCGCGCGUGCCGGAGAAGGAGGAGAAGGAAGCAGCGACGGGGAAGGAGAAGAAGGAAGCGACGGAGCUCUGCGCGGGCGACGGACGCCCCGGAGACGCGAGAUCCUGCUGAUUCAACGCCCCGAGGCAAAAACCAAAAGUGAAAAACUAGGGGGAGGGCAUUCUUUUCAGUAUCCCUGGAGUGGCAGUCUUUAUGAUGGAUGACUACCCAGAUCAAAGAACGGCGAGAAGCAACUUGCAAGGCAAUAGACAUGAUGCAUUUUCAGGAGGCAGCAGUUUUCUUUCAUGCAAACAAUAUUUUCAUUUCUGCAGGUGUAGGGGGGAGGCAAGAACAGGGGGACAAGAUUUAUGUCAGGUUCUGCGACAACAAUUCAGUACAGGGGCAAAUUUUGCAAGCAGUAGAUCAGGGGUAGGUAUAUAGAGGGAAACACACUAGUUCUAGAACAACCAAGGAUGUUGGCAGAUUUAAUGGUGUGUUUUGCCUUGAUUACCUUUGCUGUCGUCUGCCCUGGGAGUUUUUGCCCACCUUUGGCAAUUUCUUUGCCCACAUUUUCUCCAAAUUCUUGCCUGAUCAGCAAGUUUUU